GACGAACGCUGGCGGCGUGCUUAACACAUGCAAGUCGAACGAAGAGCGACGGAAGCUUGCUUCUAUCAAUCUUAGUGGCGAACGGGUGAGUAACGCGUAAUCAACCUGCCCUUCAGAGGGGGACAACAGUUGGAAACGACUGCUAAUACCGCAUACGAUCUAAUCUCGGCAUCGAGGAUGGAUGAAAGGUGGCCUCUACAUGUAAGCUAUCACUGAAGGAGGGGAUUGCGUCUGAUUAGCUAGUUGGAGGGGUAACGGCCCACCAAGGCGAUGAUCAGUAGCCGGUCUGAGAGGAUGAACGGCCACAUUGGGACUGAGACACGGCCCAGACUCCUACGGGAGGCAGCAGUGGGGAAUCUUCCGCAAUGGACGAAAGUCUGACGGAGCAACGCCGCGUGAGUGAUGACGGCCUUCGGGUUGUAAAGCUCUGUUAAUCGGGACGAAAAGGCCUUU
This 453-nucleotide ribosomal RNA is filed under the name Veillonella parvula. RNAcentral describes it as "bacterial SSU rRNA". It matches the Rfam family "Bacterial small subunit ribosomal RNA", at positions 28 to 458 of the family's 1533-position model. The record is from RNAcentral. Lineage: Bacteria; Bacillati; Bacillota; Negativicutes; Veillonellales; Veillonellaceae.